RNAcentral lists this ribosomal RNA (253 nucleotides) under uncultured bacterium. RNAcentral's name for it is "partial 16S ribosomal RNA". It matches the Rfam family "Bacterial small subunit ribosomal RNA", at positions 524 to 776 of the family's 1533-position model. The record is from RNAcentral.
UACGGAGGAUGCAAGCGUUAUCCGGAAUGACUGGGCGUAAAGCGUCCGCAGGUGGCUGUGUAAGUCUGCUGUCAAAGAGCGAAGCUCAACUUCGUAAAGGCAGUGGAAACUACACGGCUAGAGUGCGUUCGGGGCAGAGGGAAUUCCUGGUGUAGCGGUGAAAUGCGUAGAGAUCAGGAAGAACACCGGUGGCGAAGGCGCUCUGCUAGGCCGCAACUGACACUGAGGGACGAAAGCUAGGGGAGCGAAUGGG